RNAcentral lists this long non-coding RNA (311 nucleotides) under Phoenix dactylifera (date palm). RNAcentral's name for it is "long non-coding RNA (PDAC_LNC019291)". The record is from RNAcentral. Lineage: Eukaryota; Viridiplantae; Streptophyta; Magnoliopsida; Arecales; Arecaceae.
GAGGAUGAUAGUGUUAUUUUGAUGAUUAACAAGCAAUUAUCUAGAGUAUGUUAUAAGUUAAAUCGAUACUACAUUCUUAAGUCUGUUACUCUCAGUAUAUUUGUUUAAAUUGAUAUAGAUACAUUUCAUUGUUUAUUUGAAUGAAUCUAACCUUGAGAUGCAGCAAAGUGUGGAUUGAGUCGACCCAAAGGAUGAUUGGGUCGACCCCGGCACAUCAAGAAAUUAUUUGGCACACUUCUGCAAAAAUGGCACAGAUGAACAGUGUGUUGGGUCGACCCAAGGAAAGCAUGAGUCGACCCAAACAUCAAGAU